RNAcentral lists this transfer RNA (95 nucleotides) under Muribaculaceae bacterium. RNAcentral describes it as "tRNA-OTHER". Lineage: Bacteria; Pseudomonadati; Bacteroidota; Bacteroidia; Bacteroidales; Muribaculaceae. The record is from RNAcentral.
AGCCCCGUAGUUCAGAUGGUCAGAAUAGUCCGUAUUCGGCAGGUUCUUCAGAAGGCUAUACGGAAAGGUCGCGUGUUCGAGUCGCGCCGGGGCUG